GCCUGGGUGGCUCAGUCGGUUGAGCGUCCGACUUCGGCUCAGGACAUGAUCUCACAGUGUGUGAGUUCAAGCCCCGCACUGGGCU
RNAcentral lists this transfer RNA (85 nucleotides) under Felis catus (domestic cat). It matches the Rfam family "tRNA". Rfam says of the family: Transfer RNA (tRNA) molecules are approximately 80 nucleotides in length. Their secondary structure includes four short double-helical elements and three loops (D, anti-codon, and T loops). Lineage: Eukaryota; Metazoa; Chordata; Mammalia; Carnivora; Felidae. The record is from Rfam by way of RNAcentral.